UGAAAGGACGCACUAAAGUAAGUAAAAGCAGAGACUAUACCUUGUACCUUUUGCAUCAUGAUCUAGCCAGUAACCUCAAGCAAAGAGACCUCUAGUUUGAGCCCCCGAAACCAGACGAGCUACCCCGGGACAGCCUAACGUAGGGCCAACCCGUCUCUGUGGCAAUAGAGUGGGAAGAUCUCCGGGUAGAGGUGAAAGACCUACCGAGUUUGGUUAUAGCUGGUUGCCCAAGAAAUGAAUAGAAGUUCAGCCCCGUUGGGCCCCUAGCCACCGCAGUUUUACUCAAUAAAGGCAUAAGGGUCACCCCCGGGAGUUAGUCAAGGGAGGUACAGCUCCCUUAACGAAGGACACAACCUUAAGCAGGAGGCUAAGGAGUAUAUUAAGUCAAGGCCACAGGUUUUAGUGGGCCUAAAAGCAGCCACCUUAACUGAGAGCGUUAAAGCUCAGACCAAUUCAAGCCUAUUAUAAGAUUAGAAUUUCCAAAGCCCCUAAUAUUACUGGGCCACCCUAUGCCCCCAUAGGAGAGACCAUGCUAGAACGAGUAAUAAGAAGGAAAGACCUUCUCCCAGCACAUGUGUAAGUCGAAUCGGACACACCAUCGACAAUUAACGAACCCAAUUAAAGAGGGCACUGCAGCAUCGCCACCCCCGGCCAAGAAGAUCCUGCAGCAAGACAUCGUUACCCCAACACAGGAGUGCUUUAGUUAAGGGAAAGACUAAUAGGAAAAAAAGGAACUCGGCAAGCCUAAACCCCGCCUGUUUACCAAAAACAUCGCCUCCUGCCCCUACUGUUUAUAGGAGGUCCCGCCUGCCCUGUGACCAAAAGUUUAACGGCCGCGGUAUUUUAACCGUGCGAAGGUAGCGCAAUCAAUUGUCUUUUAAAUGGAGACCUGUAUGAAUGGCAUAACGAGGGUUUGACUGUCUCUUUUUUCCUGGUCAGUGAAACUGAUCUGCCCGUGCAGAAGCGGGCAUACCGCCACAAGACGAGAAGACCCUAUGGAGCUUUAGACGCUAACCAACCCCGAAAAGCACCCUACACCAGGGCCCAAACAACGUGGUUUUGGCACAACCGUCUUCGGUUGGGGCGACCGCGGGAGAUAGCACAGCUCCCGAGUGGAUGGGGGAAACCCUAAAACCAAGAGCUACAGCUCGAAGUCACAGAACAUUUGACCAACAAUGAUCCGGCUUCAUGCCGACCAACGGACCAAGUUACCCUAGGGAUAACAGCGCAAUCCCCUCCCAGAGUUCAUAUCGACGAGGGGGUUUACGACCUCGAUGUUGGAUCAGGACAUCCUAAUGGUGCAGCCGCUAUUAA
This 1314-nucleotide ribosomal RNA is filed under the name Sardina pilchardus (European sardine). Its description in RNAcentral is "partial 16S ribosomal RNA". It matches the Rfam family "Bacterial large subunit ribosomal RNA", at positions 551 to 2568 of the family's 2925-position model. Lineage: Eukaryota; Metazoa; Chordata; Actinopteri; Clupeiformes; Clupeidae. The record is from RNAcentral.